GACGAACGCUGGCGGCGUGCUUAACACAUGCAAGUCGAACGGAAAGGCCCUUCUCUUGUUGGGUGCUCGAGUGGCGAACGGGUGAGUAACAUGUGAGUAACCUACCCUUGACUUUGCGAUAGCUUCAGGACACUGGGGCUAAUAUCAUAUAGGAUCUCCUGCUGCGUGGUGUGGUUUGGAAAGUUUCGGCGGUUUGUGCUGGACUGGCGGCUUAUCAGCUUGUAGGUGGGUUAGUGGCUUACGAGGGCUUUGACGGGUAGCCGGCCUGAGAGGGUGACCGGCCACAUUGGGACUGAGAUACGGGCCAGACUCCUACGGGAGGGAGCAGUGGGGAAUAUUGCGCAAUGGGGGGGAGGCGGAUGCGGCAGAGCCGCGCGCGGGAUGAAGGUCUUUGGGUAGUAAAGCGCUUUCGCCUGGGACGAAGCGGGAGUGACGGUAAUGGGUAAAGAAGCGCCGGCUAACUACGUG
RNAcentral lists this ribosomal RNA (468 nucleotides) under uncultured bacterium. RNAcentral's name for it is "partial 16S ribosomal RNA". It matches the Rfam family "Bacterial small subunit ribosomal RNA", at positions 28 to 507 of the family's 1533-position model. The record is from RNAcentral.